Molecule: ribosomal RNA, 1679 nt
Filed under: Silurus glanis (European catfish)
Lineage: Eukaryota; Metazoa; Chordata; Actinopteri; Siluriformes; Siluridae
Description: 16S ribosomal RNA
Rfam family: Bacterial large subunit ribosomal RNA (bases 86-1594)
Source: RNAcentral
GCUAAACAGCUAGCUUAAUUACCUAAAAAAUUAAAACAACAUUAAAACACUUAACAAAACCACAACACAUAAAACUAAAACAUUCUCCCGCCUAAGUAUGUGAGACAGAAAAGGCAAACACUAAGCUACAAAAACAGUACCGCAAGGGAACGCUGAAAGAGAAAUGAAACAAAUCAUUAAAGCACAACAAAGCAGAGACUAACCCUCGUACCUUUUGCAUCAUGAUUUAGCCAGCCCCCCUGAGCAAAGCGCACUUUAGUUCAAAGCCCCGAAACUAAGUGAGCUACCCCGAGACAGCCUAUCAAUUAGGGCCAACCCAUCUCUGUGGCAAAAGAGUGGGAAGAGCUCCGGGUAGAGGUGAUAAGCCUACCGAACUUAGUUAUAGCUGGUUGCCUAAGAAAUGAAUAAAAGUUCAGCCUCGCACUCCUUACCUCACAAGCACUUAAAACCACACGAGCCAAAGAAACAUGCGAGAGUUAGUCAAAGGGGGUACAGCCCCUUUGAAACAGGACACAACCUUAACAGGAGGUUAAAGAUUACACUAAACAAGAUACGCCGCUUUAGUGGGCCUAAAAGCAGCCACCUAGACAGAUAGCGUUAAAGCUCCAGCGGACAAAAAAUCUAUUAUCCAAAUAAUUUAUCUAAAACCCCUAACAGUAUUAGGCCGCCCCAUGCCUACAUGGAAGAGACACUGCUAAAAUGAGUAAUAAGAAGGAACCCCCUUCUCCUAGCCUACGUGUAUAUUAGAUCGGACCCCCCCACUAAUAAUUACCGAACCCAACCAAAGAGGGCAAUGUGACCACAUUAAACAACAAGAAAACAUCACAUUACCAAGUCGUUAACCCCACACCGGAAGGCCAAUUAAGGAAAGACUAAAAGAAAAGGAAGGAACUCGGCAAACCCAAGCCUCGCCUGUUUACCAAAAACAUCGCCUCCUGCAAAAAUCAAUGUAUAGGAGGUCCUACCUGCCCAGUGACAAGUUAAACGGCCGCGGUAUUUUGACCGUGCGAAGGUAGCGCAAUCACUUGUCUUUUAAAUGAAGACCUGUAUGAAUGGUGGAACGAGGGCUUAACUGUCUCCCUUCUCCAGUCAAUGAAAUUGAUCUGCCCGUGCAGAAGCGGACAUAUUAAUACAAGACGAGAAGACCCUUUGGAGCUUAAGAUAAAAGACCAACUAUGUCAAGAAGCUAAAAAAUAUAGCUUAAACUAAAUAGCGACUUGAUCCUUAUCUUCAGUUGGGGCGACUGCGGAAGAAAACAAAGCUUCCACGAGGAUUGGGACUAAUAUCCUAAAACCAAGAAAGACACUUCUAAGCCACAGAACAUCUGACCAUCUAAGAUCCGGCCACCAGCCGAUCAGCGGACCAAGUUACCCUAGGGAUAACAGCGCAAUCCCCUUUCAGAGUUCAUAUCGACAAGGGGGUUUACGACCUCGAUGUUGGAUCAGGACAUCCUAAUGGUGCAGCCGCUAUUAAGGGUUCGUUUGUUCAACGAUUAAAGUCCUACGUGAUCUGAGUUCAGACCGGAGCAAUCCAGGUCAGUUUCUAUCUGUAACGCCACUCUUCCCAGUACGAAAGGACCGGAAAAGGGGGGCCCCUGUCAUAAACACGCCCCAUCCCAACUUAAUGACAACAACUAAAUUAAAUAAAGGGAAGGCACAACCCCACAUCUAGACAAGAUU